GACGAACGCUGGCGGCGUGCUUAACACAUGCAAGUCGAACGGAAAGUCCCUGCUUUUGUGGGGUGCUCGAGUGGCGAACGGGUGAGUAACACGUGAGUAACCUGCCCUUGACUUUGGGAAAACUUCAGGAAACUGGGGCUAAUACCGGAUAGGAGCUCCUGCUGCAUGGUGGGGGUUGGAAAGUUUCGGCGGAUGGGGAUGGACUCGCGGCUUAUCAGCUUGUUGGUGGGGUAGUGGCUUACCAAGGCUUUGACGGGUAGCCGGCCUGGGAGGGUGACCGGCCACAUUGGGACUGAGAUACGGCCCAGACUCCUACGGGAGGCAGCAGUGGGGAAUAUUGCACAAUGGGCGGAAGCCUGAUGCAGCAACGCCGCGUGCGGGAUGACGGCCUUCGGGUUGUAAACCGCUUUCGCCUGUGACGAAGCGUGAGUGACGGUAAUGGGUAAAGAAGCACCGGCUAACUACGUG
Molecule: ribosomal RNA, 468 nt
Filed under: uncultured bacterium
Lineage: Bacteria
Description: partial 16S ribosomal RNA
Rfam family: Bacterial small subunit ribosomal RNA
Source: RNAcentral